GACGAACGCUGGCGGCGUGCUUAACACAUGCAAGUCGAGCGGUAAGGCCCUUUCGGGGGUACACGAGCGGCGAACGGGUGAGUAACACGUGGGUGACCUGCCCUCAGCUCUGGGAUAAGCCUGGGAAACCGGGUCUAAUACUGGAUAUGACUCCACGACGCAUGUUGUGGGGUGGAAAGCCUUGUGCGGCUGAGGAUGGGCCCGCGGCCUAUCAGCUUGUUGGUGGGGUGAUGGCCUACCAAGGCGACGACGGGUAGCCGGCCUGAGAGGGCGACCGGCCACACUGGGACUGAGACACGGCCCAGACUCCUACGGGAGGCAGCAGUGGGGAAUCUUGCGCAAUGGGCGAAAGCCUGACGCAGCGACGCCGCGUGAGGGAUGACGGCCU
RNAcentral lists this ribosomal RNA (388 nucleotides) under uncultured bacterium. Its description in RNAcentral is "bacterial SSU rRNA". It matches the Rfam family "Bacterial small subunit ribosomal RNA", at positions 28 to 417 of the family's 1533-position model. The record is from RNAcentral.